AAGUCGUAACAAGGUUUCCGUAGGUGAACCUGCGGAAGGAUCAUUAACACGUAUCCAAACGUUAAAACCCCCCCCCGUGAACCUUCAUCCUGCUCUUGUAAUCCGCGUAGUUCGCAAUCUCUGAUAAAUCAUAGCCCGGAAUGUUGUAGUGAUUCAGAGACCUCUGGCUACGUGCGAACAUUGGAACAGUUACAAUCGAUGUUAACAAUGGAUAUCUUGGUUCUC
Molecule: unclassified non-coding RNA, 225 nt
Filed under: fungal sp.
Lineage: Eukaryota; Fungi
Description: partial internal transcribed spacer region
Rfam family: Eukaryotic small subunit ribosomal RNA (bases 1-46)
Source: RNAcentral